CACAUAACAAUGAACCAUAAUACAUUAGACAUCAAAUUUGUAUAGUGCAAAAACCAUCUCGGUCGAUGUAGCCUAAACUAAUUUCUAAAAUUCUCUUUUAUUUUUCUUCAUCUAAUUCUUAUUUUUUCACAUUUUAUUUUAUUGAUUUUCUAUUUUUCAUGAAUUUUCUCUUUUCUUUUUUGUUUUAAUUGGUUAAAAAAUACUUUUCUGCAUUUUAAAAUUCUUAAAAUUUUAUUAUGUGUUUCUCAUUUUAUUUCCAACCUUCCAUAAUUUUCUUGGCCAUUUAUUUGGUGUUUUAAAAGACUUUGGGGAUUUUCCAUUUU
RNAcentral lists this long non-coding RNA (323 nucleotides) under Lathyrus oleraceus (garden pea). RNAcentral describes it as "Pisum sativum (pea) long non-coding RNA (PSAT_LNC035930)". The record is from RNAcentral. Lineage: Eukaryota; Viridiplantae; Streptophyta; Magnoliopsida; Fabales; Fabaceae.